GACGAACGCUGGCGGCGUGCUUAACACAUGCAAGUCGAACGGAAAGGCCCUUGUUUGGUGGGGUUCGCGAGUGGCGAACGGGUGAGUAAUACGUGGGUAACCGUCCCUUGAUGUUGGGAUGACUUCAGAAAACUGGGUUUAAUACGCGAUAGGAGUUCGGGCUGCAGGGUGGGGGUUGGAGGGUUUCGGCGGUUGGGUAUGGACUUGGGGCUUAUCAGCUUGUUGGGGGGGUAGUGGCUUACCAAGGCUUUGACGGGUAGCCGGCCUGAGGGGGUGACCGGCCACAUUGGGACUGAGAUACGGCCCAGACUCCUACGGGAGGCAGCAGUGGGGAAUAUUGCACAAUGGGCGGAAGCCUGAUGCAGCAACGCCGCGUGCGGGAUGACGGCCUUCGGGUUGUAAACCGCUUUCGCCUGUGACGAAGCGUGAGUGACGGUAAUGGGUAAAGAAGCACCGGCUAACUACGUG
RNAcentral lists this ribosomal RNA (468 nucleotides) under uncultured bacterium. RNAcentral describes it as "partial 16S ribosomal RNA". It matches the Rfam family "Bacterial small subunit ribosomal RNA", at positions 28 to 507 of the family's 1533-position model. The record is from RNAcentral.